AAACUUUCAACAAUGGAUCUCUUGGUUCUGGCAUCGAUGAAGAACGCAGCGAAAUGCGAUAAGUAAUGUGAAUUGCAGAAUUCAGUGAAUCAUCGAAUCUUUGAACGCACAUUGCGCCCCCUGGUAUUCCGGGGGGCAUGCCUGUUCGAGCGUCAUUU
This 158-nucleotide ribosomal RNA is filed under the name Cladosporium halotolerans. RNAcentral's name for it is "5.8S ribosomal RNA". It matches the Rfam family "5.8S ribosomal RNA". Rfam says of the family: 5.8S ribosomal RNA (5.8S rRNA) is a component of the large subunit of the eukaryotic ribosome. It is transcribed by RNA polymerase I as part of the 45S precursor that also contains 18S and 28S rRNA. Functionally, it is thought that 5.8S rRNA may be involved in ribosome translocation. Lineage: Eukaryota; Fungi; Ascomycota; Dothideomycetes; Cladosporiales; Cladosporiaceae. The record is from RNAcentral.